RNAcentral lists this ribosomal RNA (420 nucleotides) under uncultured bacterium. Its description in RNAcentral is "bacterial SSU rRNA". It matches the Rfam family "Bacterial small subunit ribosomal RNA", at positions 356 to 773 of the family's 1533-position model. The record is from RNAcentral.
GAGGAAUAUUGGACAAUGGAUGGAAAUCUGAUCCAGCCAUGCCGCGUGCAGGAAGACGGCCCUAUGGGUUGUAAACUGCUUUUGUAUGGGAGCAAUAAGGGUUACGUGUAGCCCGAUGAGAGUACCAUACGAAUAAGGACCGGCUAACUCCGUGCCAGCAGCCGCGGUAAUACGGAGGGUCCGAGCGUUAUCCGGAUUUAUUGGGUUUAAAGGGAGCGUAGGCGGUUUUAUAAGUCAGCGGUGAAAUUUUCCGGCUCAACCGGGAGACUGCCGUUGAUACUGUAGGGCUAGGAUAUGGUUGCUGUGGGUGGAAUGUGUGGUGUAGCGGUGAAAUGCUUAGAGAUCACACAGAAUAUCGAUUGCGAAGGCAGCUCACAAAGCCAUUAUUGACGCUGAGGCACGAAAGUGUGGGGAUCAAAC